AACAUUGUCUAAAUAAAAAGAAACAUUGUUUGUUCACACCAUAACACAUUGCAACCAUGUUCUCAAAAGCCAAACCGUACAUCCCAUCAAAAUAUCAUAGUACAAUCCCAGUAAAUCUCAUAAAUGCGGAAACCGAAGAGUGUGUGUAUGACGUGCCGCUACCGCGCCGGCUCCUUCCCCUUCGAUGCAGAGGUACCUGAAAACAAAACUGUAAACGUAAGCACAAAGCUUAGUGAGUUCCCCCAACGUACCGCAUACCAUACAAACACAUAACAUAUAUACUGCCAGGCUAUUCUGGGGUGCCUGACUACCCGGUACGGCCAUUCUGGGGUGCCGACCUACCCAUACGGCCAUUCUGGGGUGCCGUCUUACCCGUGUCAAGCCAUUCUGGGGUGCUGACUACCCAUCGGUCCUAACAACCGAUCCUCGGGGACUAUUUCACCCCUACUACUACGAUCACAUAUAACAUAACAAGCCAGCAUGCAUACAUAUCGUCACAUACUGUCAGACGUAUCUGGGGUGUCUGACUACCCUUCGGUCCGAACAACCAAACUCUACUACUAUCACAUACAGCAUAUCAUGCUAGCAUAUAACAUGUCAGGUACUAGCGAACUUAGAUGAUAUCACAAAGACAAUCAUCUAUCAUACAACUCCUACUGGUGGGUCGGCAUUGUGGCCUUAGACCCACCGCUACUGGAAGGUAACUCACCUCAAAGUAGCUGCUGAACUGAUCGGGAACUAACUGACUGCUGCUGCUCCGGGAGUCCUCCGGCUGCAAUUUCCACGACAUACUCAAUCAAACACUGCUAACUGUCCUUUAGGUAAAAUGACCAUUUUACCCCUGGAUUAACUCUAAGCCAAAGCUGGAGUCAACUUUCAGUUGACCCGACUCGCCGAGUGGAUCACCACUCGCCGAGUCCCUAGCAAACCAAUGUCCUGGGUCCCUGGUUCUACUCGUCGAGUCGGGCUAUGACUCGACGAGUUCACCUUCUAACUGCCAUUCAACACCUUCAUCCUACUCGCCGAGUUGUAUGAACAACUCGUCGAGUUCAUCUUCAUCCGAUGAACACUUUAUGCUAAGACUCGCCGAGUUGUAUGAACAACUCGCCGAGUCUGUUCUUGAGCUAUGAAGAUUGCCUUGGACUCGCCGAGUCAGGGCAUUGACUCGCCGAGUCCUAACAUGGGUGAGUUCAGCUCCCAACUCACCGAGUCACCCCCUGUGACUCAAGGCUCAACUCGACACAUGAAGAAGGGACCAAUUCGGUGACUCGCGACCAGACUCGCCGAGUCACCUAUGCGACUCGCCGAGUCGUCGCCAUGCACUCCUUAAAUAUACCGAUUUGCUCGGUUCCAGACCAUGCCAUUCAUAGAUCUGGACUUCUAGGACACGAAUCACACGUAAAGUUUCCAACUUUACGUGUGGAUAUUCACCAAUAUGGAUUAUAAGGCUCAAAAUGUCUCAAAAUGGUAGAUCUAGGGCUAACAAGCCUCAUGAGGCCAAAAAGCUAACAGAUCUGAGCUCCUGGAGCUCAAUCUUACAUAGAUCCAAAGGCCAAACGCCUUAUUACAACAUAUAAUGAACAUGCAAACUUGGGGAAUUGACCAAGAAGGACCCAAAUGAAGUUUUAAGCAUAGAAUCAAGGGGAAAACGGGUUAUACCUCAAAGGAAAUGUUGAAAUGACACAAGGAUGGCUGAUCUCCUUCUCCUCUUCUUGAUCUACUCCUCUUACUCUUCAA
RNAcentral lists this long non-coding RNA (1737 nucleotides) under Lactuca sativa (garden lettuce). RNAcentral describes it as "long non-coding RNA (LSAT_LNC001211)". The record is from RNAcentral. Lineage: Eukaryota; Viridiplantae; Streptophyta; Magnoliopsida; Asterales; Asteraceae.